CCUACGUGUGGCAGCAGUGGGGAAUAUUGCACAAUGGAGGGAACCCUGAUGCAGCAAUGCCGCGUGAAGGAUGAAGGUUUUCGGAUUGUAAACUUCUUUUGUACGGGACGAAGACAGUGACGGUACCGUGAGAAUAAGCCACUGUUAACUACGUGCCAGCAGCCGCGGUAAUACGGAGGUGGCAAGCAUUAUCCGGAUUUAGUGGGUGUAAAGGGCGAGUAGGCGGGAUGGCAAGUCAGAUGUGAAAACUAGGUGCUCAACAGAUAGAGUGCAUUUGAAACUGAAGAUCUUGAGUGAUGGGGAGGCAGGCGGAAUGCACGGUGUAGCGGUGGAAUGCGUAGAGAUC
Molecule: ribosomal RNA, 346 nt
Filed under: uncultured bacterium
Lineage: Bacteria
Description: partial 16S ribosomal RNA
Rfam family: Bacterial small subunit ribosomal RNA
Source: RNAcentral